GAGUACCAAUUUCUUGCUGCUCCCUUCAAGGUGGAUGGGAAAGCUCGGCACAGGAUGGCGUCUGGCGCACCAUGGAGCAGCAUCAUUGUCCGGAAGGCCUCUAGGUGGUCAACCAGAUCCGAGGUCCCAUCGUAGCUUUCGAAUUGGGGGAGCUUGAACUCCGAUCGGAUAAGUUCUUAAUUGUAGGGUUUGAGAUUGUUUGGUUUAUGCAAAAUAUUUAC
Molecule: long non-coding RNA, 221 nt
Filed under: Elaeis guineensis (African oil palm)
Lineage: Eukaryota; Viridiplantae; Streptophyta; Magnoliopsida; Arecales; Arecaceae
Description: long non-coding RNA (EGUI_LNC070295)
Source: RNAcentral